GAUGAACGCUGACAGAAUGCUUAACACAUGCAAGUCAACUUGAAUUUGGGUUUUUAACUUAGGUUUGGGUGGCGGACGGGUGAGUAACGCGUAAAGAACUUGCCUCACAGCUAGGGACAACAUUUGGAAACGAAUGCUAAUACCUAAUAUUAUGAUAAUAGGGCAUCCUAUAAUUAUGAAAGCUAUAAGCGCUGUGAGAGAGCUUUGCGUCCCAUUAGCUAGUUGGAGAGGUAACGGCUCACCAAGGCGAUGAUGGGUAGCCGGCCUGAGAGGGUGAUCGGCCACAAGGGGACUGAGACACGGCCCUUACUCCUACGGGAGGCAGAAGUGGGGAAUAUUGGACAAUGGACCGAGAGUCUGAUCCAGCAAUUCUGUGUGCACGAUGAAGUUUUUCGGAAUGUAAAGUGCUUUCAGUUGGGAAGAAACAAAUGACGGUACCAACAGAAGAAGUGACGGCUAAAUACGUG
This 467-nucleotide ribosomal RNA is filed under the name uncultured bacterium. Its description in RNAcentral is "partial 16S ribosomal RNA". It matches the Rfam family "Bacterial small subunit ribosomal RNA", at positions 28 to 507 of the family's 1533-position model. The record is from RNAcentral.